AAAUUAUGCAAAAAAGUACUAAAUUGUUUGUUUUUCAAAGGUGAUGACUAGGAAGAAUUUGUAGUGGUGGUAGACUAUUGGGUAUGUGUCUUUGUUGUUUGUUCAGGCUUGAGUUCAUUAGGUCCAAGCAUGUUGUUUAGCAGCCAAGAAUUAGAGAAAGAGGUAGACAGAAGUAGUGAAUGGAUAAGAUGUGUAAGGGGGGAGGAGAGAGAGAGAGUUUGUCUUGAAAUCAAGAAGGUUUUAUAUUCAGCUAUCAUAUAGUCAAUGCAACUCCCCAUUAUUCUUUUAUACAAUCAAGUUGAAUUGACGAACCAGACCAAUAAGUAAUAUGGAUGAAAACAAACAACUCAGCUGCUCAUUAGAAAUAGCCAAGAAUUUAGGAUUUGAGUUCAUUAGGUCCUAGCAGGUUGUUUGGUAGCCAAGAAUUAGAGAGAGGAAAACCAAAAUAGUGAAGGG
This 456-nucleotide unclassified non-coding RNA is filed under the name Hevea brasiliensis (rubber tree). The record is from RNAcentral. Lineage: Eukaryota; Viridiplantae; Streptophyta; Magnoliopsida; Malpighiales; Euphorbiaceae.